GACGAACGCUGGCGGCGUGCUUAACACAUGCAAGUCGAACGGAAAGGCCCUGCUUUUGUUGGGUGCUCGAGUGGCGAGCGGGUGAGUAACACGUGAGUAACCUACCCUUGACUUUGGGUUAAGUUCACGAAACUGGGGCUAAUACCGGAUAGGAUCUCCUGCUGCAUUGUGGGGGUUGGAAAGUGUCGGCGGUUGGGGAUGGACUGGCGGCUUAUCAGCUUUUUGGUGGGGUGGGGGCUUACCAGGGCUUUGACGGGUGGCCGGCCUGAGAGGGUGGACGGUCUGAGAGGGUGUGAGGCACGGUCGGGACUCAGACGGGGGGCAGAAGUGGAGAAUAGUGAGCAGUGGGGGAAAGCCUGAUGCAGCGACGCCGCGGGAGGGAUGGAGCCGUGCGGGUUGUGAACCUCUUUCGCCAGUGAAGCGGGCCUGCCUCGUUUGUGGGUGGGUUGACGGUAGCUGGAGAAGAAGCGCCGGCUAACUACGUG
RNAcentral lists this ribosomal RNA (485 nucleotides) under uncultured bacterium. RNAcentral's name for it is "partial 16S ribosomal RNA". It matches the Rfam family "Bacterial small subunit ribosomal RNA", at positions 28 to 507 of the family's 1533-position model. The record is from RNAcentral.